UGGGGUGCAGCUCAGUGGUAGAGCACUUGCCUAGAAUGCACAAAGUGAGACCCUGGGUUCCAUCCCCAGCACCCCAG
Molecule: transfer RNA, 77 nt
Filed under: Fukomys damarensis (Damara mole-rat)
Lineage: Eukaryota; Metazoa; Chordata; Mammalia; Rodentia; Bathyergidae
Rfam family: tRNA
About the family: Transfer RNA (tRNA) molecules are approximately 80 nucleotides in length.
Source: Rfam by way of RNAcentral